This is a non-coding RNA of Oryzias latipes (Japanese medaka), 671 nucleotides long. The record is from RefSeq and is a predicted model, not a curated record. Lineage: Eukaryota; Metazoa; Chordata; Actinopteri; Beloniformes; Adrianichthyidae.
ACCAAAGUCAGCUUCAGGCGGAGAAAAGGCAGAAAUUCCCAUCUCAGCAUAAGACCGAAAUGUGAUGUGAAGGAGGAGGAGAUGUCAAAAAGGAUAAACACAGACUCACUUAUGGCUUAUUUUUGUAUCAAGCACCUGAGAAGCAGCCGUAGCUCCGCCCUCCUCUGACGAGGAAGAGCAUUUACCUGAAGGAUGUGCAGAGCGGAGGAGUCAUCCAGACUCAUCUCGGUCAGAGCUGUGCAGCAGGCUGGAAAAGGGCGUAGAUGUUCAGUAAAUGACCGCAGACGUCCGAAAGGUCAUGCUGGCCGUGCCAUCGAACAGGUGGGUUCGCUCAUCAUGUUGGCGUUUACUGCAGGAGGCUGACAACCACUUCCCUUAAAACUGUUAAAAGUCCAACUGCUUUGCUUCAGGAAGGCUGUGUUUACUCUUUCAGGUGCUGAUAAGACUCCCCUGUGGGAGGAAUUAUCAUCAAUGUCCGGUAACAACAACAAAACAUUCGCUUCCAGUUUUCACCCUUUUGCCAACGAUUUAAGCGGAAGAAAGCGGAGAAGCAACCGCCGUUAACAAACGGGUCCAUCUAAAAGGACAAAACGCAGACGAAAAGCAGACCAAUGUUGUCUGUGCUGUUCUAAAUGACUGAGAAUCCUCACAGACAACCCAAGAAACACGGA